Molecule: ribosomal RNA, 464 nt
Filed under: uncultured bacterium
Lineage: Bacteria
Description: bacterial SSU rRNA
Rfam family: Bacterial small subunit ribosomal RNA
Source: RNAcentral
AGGACGAACGCUGGCGGCGUGCCUAACACAUGCAAGUCGAACGGGGUAAAGAGCUUCGGUUUUUACUUAGUGGCGAACGGGUGAGUAACGCGUGAAGAACCUGCCUUUCAGUGGGGGACAACAGUUGGAAACGACUGCUAAUACCACAUGACACUUCUGAGUGGCAUCACUUAGAAGUCAAAGCUUUAUGUGCUGAAAGAUGGCUUCGCGUCUGAUUAGCUAGUUGGCGGGGUAACGGCCCACCAAGGCGACGAUCAGUAGCCGGUCUGAGAGGAUGAACGGCCACAUUGGGACUGAGACACGGCCCAGACUCCUACGGGAGGCAGCAGUGGGGAAUCUUCCGCAAUGGACGAAAGUCUGACGGAGCAACGCCGCGUGAGUGAUGACGGUCUUCGGAUUGUAAAGCUCUGUCUUUAGGGACGAUAAUGACGGUACCUAAGGAGGAAGCCACGGCUAACUACGUG